RNAcentral lists this ribosomal RNA (1412 nucleotides) under Bacteroides fragilis. RNAcentral describes it as "bacterial SSU rRNA". It matches the Rfam family "Bacterial small subunit ribosomal RNA". The record is from RNAcentral. Lineage: Bacteria; Pseudomonadati; Bacteroidota; Bacteroidia; Bacteroidales; Bacteroidaceae.
UACACAUGCAAGUCGAGGGGCAUCAGGAAGAAAGCUUGCUUUCUUUGCUGGCGACCGGCGCACGGGUGAGUAACACGUAUCCAACCUGCCCUUUACUCGGGGAUAGCCUUUCGAAAGAAAGAUUAAUACCCGAUAGUAUAAUGAUUCCGCAUGGUUUCAUUAUUAAAGGAUUCCGGUAAAGGAUGGGGAUGCGUUCCAUUAGGUUGUUGGUGAGGUAACGGCUCACCAAGCCUUCGAUGGAUAGGGGUUCUGAGAGGAAGGUCCCCCACAUUGGAACUGAGACACGGUCCAAACUCCUACGGGAGGCAGCAGUGAGGAAUAUUGGUCAAUGGGCGAUGGCCUGAACCAGCCAAGUAGCGUGAAGGAUGACUGCCCUAUGGGUUGUAAACUUCUUUUAUAUUAGAAUAAAGUGCAGUAUGUAUACUGUUUUGUAUGUAUAAUAUGAAUAAGGAUCGGCUAACUCCGUGCCAGCAGCCGCGGUAAUACGGAGGAUCCGAGCGUUAUCCGGAUUUAUUGGGUUUAAAGGGAGCGUAGGUGGACUGGUAAGUCAGUUGUGAAAGUUUGCGGCUCAACCGUAAAAUUGCAGUUGAUACUGUCAGUCUUGAGUACAGUAGAGGUGGGCGGAAUUCGUGGUGUAGCGGUGAAAUGCUUAGAUAUCACGAAGAACUCCGAUUGCGAAGGCAGCUCACUGGACUGCAACUGACACUGAUGCUCGAAAGUGUGGGUAUCAAACAGGAUUAGAUACCCUGGUAGUCCACACAGUAAACGAUGAAUACUCGCUGUUUGCGAUAUACAGUAAGCGGCCAAGCGAAAGCAUUAAGUAUUCCACCUGGGGAGUACGCCGGCAACGGUGAAACUCAAAGGAAUUGACGGGGGCCCGCACAAGCGGAGGAACAUGUGGUUUAAUUCGAUGAUACGCGAGGAACCUUACCCGGGCUUAAAUUGCAGUGGAAUGAUGUGGAAACAUGUCAGUGAGCAAUCACCGCUGUGAAGGUGCUGCAUGGUUGUCGUCAGCUCGUGCCGUGAGGUGUCGGCUUAAGUGCCAUAACGAGCGCAACCCUUAUCUUCAGUUACUAACAGGUCAUGCUGAGGACUCUGGAGAGACUGCCGUCGUAAGAUGUGAGGAAGGUGGGGAUGACGUCAAAUCAGCACGGCCCUUACGUCCGGGGCUACACACGUGUUACAAUGGGGGGUACAGAAGGCAGCUACCUGGUGACAGGAUGCUAAUCCCAAAAGCCUCUCUCAGUUCGGAUCGAAGUCUGCAACCCGACUUCGUGAAGCUGGAUUCGCUAGUAAUCGCGCAUCAGCCACGGCGCGGUGAAUACGUUCCCGGGCCUUGUACACACCGCCCGUCAAGCCAUGGGAGCCGGGGGUACCUGAAGUACGUAACCGCAAGGAGCGUCCUAGUAAAA